UACGGAGGGUGCAAGCGUUAUCCGGAUUCACUGGGCUUAAAGGGUGCGUAGGCGGGUUGGUAAGUCAGUGGUGAAAUCCCCGAGCUUAACUUGGGAACUGCCAUUGAUACUAUCAGUCUUGAAUACCGUGGAGGUCAGCGGAAUAUGUCAUGUAGCGGUGAAAUGCUUAGAUAUGACAUAGAACACCAAUUGCGAAGGCAGCUGGCUACUCGGAUAUUGACACUGAGGCACGAAAGCGUGGGGAGCAAACAGG
Molecule: ribosomal RNA, 253 nt
Filed under: uncultured bacterium
Lineage: Bacteria
Description: partial 16S ribosomal RNA
Rfam family: Bacterial small subunit ribosomal RNA
Source: RNAcentral